This is an RNA transcript of Helianthus annuus (common sunflower), 1217 nucleotides long. RefSeq lists it as uncharacterized. Lineage: Eukaryota; Viridiplantae; Streptophyta; Magnoliopsida; Asterales; Asteraceae. The transcript is spliced from 4 exons. The record is from RefSeq and is a predicted model, not a curated record.
UCUCCUAAAUUGAGCUAAAUUCAAAUUCAGAAUUUCAUAUUGACAACUAAAUACAAAAUCGAGUUCACCCUUUCCAAGUUCGACCUCCUCUAGUCGUUUCCAACAACAAAGGUAAUCUCCAUCCCAUUCUGUAUUCUACUUCUAUUUUUUUAUUAAACUUGGUGAAUCUGGAUUCUGGACAUCUUGUUUGUUAAACUGGAGAAAACGUGAGGGUGUAGGUGACGAUGUUGAAAUUGGGUAAAUACGGCGGAGGAUGGUGGUUGAGCGGAUGUUCGGUGAUGAUGGUGAUUAGCCCUAAAUUUAGUUCCCCUAAAACAAAAACAUGUUACCUAACCCAUGAUACCUCACACAAAAAGUGAUUAAAUGAUUGUUUAGAUUGAGAUAGUACUGAGGAAGACAGAUAAAUUUCAUGAACUGAUGAGGAGAAAAGGGAGCUUGCAAAUGGACACUGCAUUACUGGUCUGGUUCUGCGCAGUUUCAGUCUGAUUGCUGGAACCAGAUAGACCAGUUUUGAUGGAGACUUUUGUAUUGUAAAUGGAAUUUUCUAAAACACAAACGAAAGUGCAGAUUGAGGAGAAGAUGAUUGUCUGCAUCCCUGUCGCUGGGUAUCAGGUUUAUCUGUCUAUUUGCUUGCUUGUUGUUUUAUUUCAUGAAUAUAGUUUGAUUAAUAUUUUGUGUUUAACUGGGGAGGACAGAAUAAUCCGUUGUCCAUACAGCGCCUCUUCACCGAAGCAGGUGAUGCUCUCAAGCUUCACCAUAUAGUUCAUUGCUCUCUUGAUACUGUUGAUGAAAAAGGUGUUCGAUGCGGAAGUGGUGGUUCAGCCGUGGAAGCAUUCUAAGAAGUUGUUAGUGUUUAAACUGGCACCGGUGAAUAUGCAGAGUGCGGACCCUCUGUGGUCUCAGAAUACUUUUCUUUACUCUACAACGGGAACGUCCUGAUAAAGUCGCUCAAAAUAAUGAUGGGUGUCAUGAAAAAACCUCCCAAGGACUUUGAGGCUUUAGCAAUUGGGCAUUUUCGAAAUCGUGUGUUUGAUAUUCUAUAGGCGUGUAUAGUUUAUGAGCAGGACCUGAGAGCCGGACUUGUUGUCGGUAGUGUGGGUAACAAGGGUUGGCUGCUCACAUGAGUUCCGGGAAGCUGUUGGUUUAUACGUCCCGGAACUUAUAGACUCUUUUAAUAAAAUGGUCAGAAGAUGAAAUUAUUGGGUUGUCUGGUCUCA